GGCUAUAACACAUAUGAUGUCAGAAGUGGUGUUGAACAUGGUAAAUAGAGGAGCGCUUGUUGUGUGGAGACCUGAGAGUAGUUUUGGCUCCCGUUCUGGUCAUACAGUCCCUCAAGUAAACCAUCAUGCUAAGCAAAUGCAUCUAAUUUCCAUUUCAACUAAUGAGCUUCGGUGAUCACCUACCUUAUACUUUAUCGACGUGUGCAAGUAUUUACUGCAAUCAAUCCAAAAUAUACACUCACCCGUUUUCUUCGGUUCACUUCCCCAGUAAUUUCUGUUUUGAAACAACUAAUUCCAAACUCUAUAAUGAGGAAUGAUUAAGUUGUGCAACAUCCCGUCGCUAUGAUAGUUGGGUUAUUAACCAACUAUCAUGGGCGGUGAUCCCCUUACGUAAUACUGGUUAGAUCGUCUGUAGGAAAUGUUGCCUGGGAGAUUUAUCCUAAUCAAUCCUGCUCAUAAACUUAACAGUUAUCUUGAGUUUCAUAUAUUAAUUAUGUUUGUGGUGUCUUCGGAUACAAGAAAUUCCAGUGUUCUCAACUUUUACCUACUGAUGGUGCCUUUAGCUUUGCAAAUAAAUUUUAUAUGUUAAACCUGGAGUCUUUCGUUACUUUGGUUACGGUGGUUAUCGUGAGCAUCUCGAUUGGCACUGUAUCAUAGGGUAUUUCAAGCUCUCGGAUCAUUAACACAAUCGCUGACCAUCGUAUGAGCUGAGGAAUCCGUAUCUCUACUGAGCUGAGAUAUCCGCGGGGUCUAACCUGAGCUGCCUCAGCCGACUCAUCCUUUCAUC
Molecule: long non-coding RNA, 787 nt
Filed under: Elaeis guineensis (African oil palm)
Lineage: Eukaryota; Viridiplantae; Streptophyta; Magnoliopsida; Arecales; Arecaceae
Description: long non-coding RNA (EGUI_LNC021427)
Source: RNAcentral